Molecule: ribosomal RNA, 254 nt
Filed under: uncultured Pseudomonas sp.
Lineage: Bacteria; Pseudomonadati; Pseudomonadota; Gammaproteobacteria; Pseudomonadales; Pseudomonadaceae
Description: partial 16S ribosomal RNA
Rfam family: Bacterial small subunit ribosomal RNA
Source: RNAcentral
CGGACGGGUGAGUAAUGCCUAGGAAUCUGCCUGGUAGUGGGGGACAACGUUUCGAAAGGAACGCUAAUACCGCAUACGUCCUACGGGAGAAAGCAGGGGACCUUCGGGCCUUGCGCUAUCAGAUGAGCCUAGGUCGGAUUAGCUAGUUGGUGAGGUAAUGGCUCACCAAGGCGACGAUCCGUAACUGGUNUGAGAGGAUGAUCAGUCACACUGGAACUGAGACACGGUCCAGACUCCUACGGGAGGCAGCAGCC